RNAcentral lists this ribosomal RNA (484 nucleotides) under uncultured bacterium. RNAcentral's name for it is "partial 16S ribosomal RNA". It matches the Rfam family "Bacterial small subunit ribosomal RNA", at positions 30 to 507 of the family's 1533-position model. The record is from RNAcentral.
AUUGAACGCUGGCGGCAGGCCUAACACAUGCAAGUCGAGCGGAUGAAGGGAGCUUGCUCCUGGAUUCAGCGGCGGACGGGUGAGUAAUGCCUAGGAAUCUGCCUGGUAGUGGGGGAUAACGUCCGGAAACGGGCGCUAAUACCGCAUACGUCCUGAGGGAGAAAGUGGGGGAUCUUCGGACCUCACGCUAUCAGAUGAGCCUAGGUCGGAUUAGCUAGUUGGUGGGGUAAAGGCCCACCAAGGCGACGAUCCGUAACUGGUCUGAGAGGAUGAUCAGUCACACUGGAACUGGGACACGGUCCAGACUCCUACGGGAGGCAGCAGUGGGGAAUAUUGGACAAUGGGCGAAAGCCUGAUCCAGCCAUGCCGCGUGUGUGAAGAAGGUCUUCGGAUUGUAAAGCACUUUAAGUUGGGAGGAAGGGCAGUAAGUUAAUACCUUGCUGUUUUGACGUUACCAACAGAAUAAGCACCGGCUAACUUCGUG